Molecule: long non-coding RNA, 1097 nt
Organism: Cyprinus carpio (common carp)
Lineage: Eukaryota; Metazoa; Chordata; Actinopteri; Cypriniformes; Cyprinidae
Exons: 2
Source: RefSeq, a predicted model, not a curated record
UUUUUAUUAUGUAAAUAAAUUGACUUUUCAGUUAAAAGUCCAGUACAAAGGUUACUAUAGAACAAUAAGGAUAUGUUGUAACAUGCAGUUGGAAACUCCCCAUAACAAUAACUUCUCUGUCCUGGCAGCUUAUCAUAGUCACAUGAUUGUUGAGCAAUGGAAUGUUGUUCGAUACUGCACUGCUUCUACAUUUGUAAGGUUGUAUAGGUAAGGUUUAAAUUUGCCAGUCUUUUUAUUUUUAUUUUUUUUGUUUUUAAAGUCAGUUUUAGACCACCACAGUUAAAACGACAUUUAAAUACAGUUUUAAAUGAUUUCACCGUACAAGGCACAUCUGUAUUAUAUCUUCAUAAAUCCAUGGGCCAUAACAUGAAAUAGCCAUGUUUUCCAGAUUAAUUCCUCCUUACAUGUACAAAGCUGAUUAAUGCAUAUUUAUGUAUUGGGUCUGAACCACAUUUGACUCUUAUUGCAAUUCAUAAAGCAGUUCUUGACUAAUAAACAGUGUUUAUUGUAGCAAACACUUCCUGGACUAAAUUUCGAGAACCUGUUCACCCACAAUGUUUCUCUUUCUUUGAAAUGACUCAUUUCUAAAGAAAGGAAACUUAAGUAGAAGGCUUGUCAGGGCAUAUUUCAGUGGUUAGCGUGCAGCUAUCUUACCUGUAAAGCAUUCUUUCACUUUUACUUAAUGCUGAAAAUAGGGUUGGGCCCAUACAUGCUUGCGAUGCCAAUUGGAUAGACAUGCCCCAUAGCUGAAAUGGGUGUUACGUUCUACCUGACAAAAGAAGUCUGUUCCUGUCUUUCCACAUUUACAUUGUCAGAAGCUGCUGUCUUCAAAACAGGUGUAAAUGAGAUCUAACGAUCCAGCUAGGGAAUCAACCUUCCACAUCAUUUUCAGACUGCAGAGCUGAUCCAACUGAGGAAAUAUGAAUAGCUUAAUGUUUCCAAGACUUGCAUCUCUUUCUUUAUCAUUACUCAUCUUCACAAAUGGUGUGUUUGGUGUUGAGACAGAGGAUGUGUCUGUGAUGGAGGGAGAUUCUGUCACACUACACACAGGUGUUGUAAAACAGAAAGAUGAUCUGAUAGUAUGGUAUUAUGGACCU